AGAGGAAUUGUGGCCUUCUGUAAUAAUGUUCAUACUGACAAUGCUUAUUAUUUUAAAUACGAAUCUGUACUUCCAUACUCUUCAAAAUCCCUUCCCAUGACAAACUAUAGUUAUUCACUUAUUAGUAAUAAUUCAAUAAAGUUUUCCAAAUUUAUGUUGAGUACCAAAACCAUACUCAAAAAUAAAGAUGGAAUAGUUUAUUUAUCUAGUAAAUUAACAAUUCAAUUUAAAAAUUGAGCAUUAUUCAAAAAUGGCAUAAAAUCCUGAUGUGACAAAUAUAUAGGCUACUGUGUUGUGAUUUUUUUGUCCAAUUUGACUUUUUAGUACUUCCAUGAAAAAAUUGUUCAGGUGAGUUUAACUUCCCUUUGUAUUUUAUUUUGUUUUGCUUGUUUUCCUAUGUAACUGAUGUUGUUUAUGAUAAUUGAGUAAUUCGGUUAAUACUCUGGUGUCUCAACAAGUCUCUGUAUUUUUUGUAGGUCGAUCUGCAUUUUCCAAAAAAAUAUACCAGUGCAACAAGUGUGGGAAAAUAUAUAAAGAAAAUAGUGGCCUGUAUAGACAUAAGAGGUUUGAGUGUGGCGUCGAACCUCAAUUCCAAUGUCCUCACUGUCCUCAUCGCGCCAAACAGAGAAGCAACCUCAAAACUCACAUUGGUCUCAAACAUGGACCAGAAUUUAUUUUACAAUAAUUAUACCCUAUACUUUAAAAUUUGAAUGCGCCACCUCCUCCAUCACACUUUACUCUCAAAAUUCAUAUUACCGUAAUAUCAAACAUAAGUUCAACAUUUUUUAUUUAUAUUUUUUACCACGAUUAAAUAAUUUAAAAAUAUUAUUUAAGAGUGGCAUUUAUUCAACCUUGGCGUCUAUGUAUUUUUCAUCUCUCAUGUUUUUAAUUCAUCUCGUCCUUUUCAUAUUAUCUGUCAAAAUUAGUCACACAUCUCCAUGUAUUAAAAUAACGAUGUUUUAUUUUUACAACUCAUAUUUUCUGAGCGAACUGUUUUUAUCAAUAUAUUUUUGAAGAAUUAAAGGUACCUACGUAAUUAAACAAACAUUUUUCUCAUGUAAAUUUCAAUAUAUAUUAAUUUAUAUUCCUGUUUUGCUGUACGGUAUAUGUGCUUAAUUUUCCAUUAAAUCAUUGCAAAAAAGCGAGUUUUUUUCGAUCAGAAUCUGAGACCCUGAGAACUGCAUUCCGUACGGUACUGGUUUUGGGAGUGCUCACACAUUGGAACAAAUUUAUAAUAUAAGUGGUCUGACAAAAAUGUAUGAUUGCACCCAUUAGAUCCAUUGAUUGGAAAGCAGGACUUCAUUGUAAGUCAACUUUAUUUCAGUUUUCUAUGUGUAGCAAUAAGUACAUUUUCGAACACUCUAUAUUGCUUUCAAUAAUUAACCCUAGGCUUAUAUACCUUCAAUUUCUGGUCUCCUUUGCAAUAUUUUAUCUUACUUUGUAUUUCUUGAUUCUAUCAAUUCAAAUUUAGUGAUUAGCUUGUACACUUAUACUUCAUAUUUAGUUUACUAUCCUCUAAAAGUUUACAAUAUGGGUUAAUUUUGCUUGUAUUUAAGCAGAAAAUGUCAAGUUCUAUAAAAUAACUUUGUUGAUAACUUUUUCUCUCGUAUGAAUUUGUCGGAUUGAUAUGAUACCAAUGAGACGAUAAAGGAACUGUCAUCGUUUUUCUGGGGAUUAACAAAAAAUAGAACAUAAUGAGUGUUCUAGGGGCAGGUUUUUUCGUGAGUUAACAUUUUAUUUUAAAGUUUCCAAAAAUUGUGUACAAUUUUCCACAAUAGAGAAAAAUGUAUCAACUUCAUCAAAAUUUUUAAAUUGCUCACACGUACAUUCUCUUUCACAAUGUAUGUUCACAUUAUAAAUGUUCUAGCUACUAGUUUUAGUUGUUACAUCAUUAUCAAUCUCCAGUUUUGGUUGUAAUACUAUUAUCAAUCUGUAGUAAACUGCCAAUCUAAAAAUCAAGCAGCAGAAUAUAUAGUUAGUGUGUGAAUUAAGCAAUAUAUGAUCGACCGUUAGUGACAAAAUCAUGAUUGAGUUAUCUCAUUGAGCUCUGGCAAAGACACGACACGACACACUCACAUUACUCUCUAUAUGAUCAUGGAAACCGUUAAACAGUAUAACAAUAGAAAAUAUACUAUCAAAUCCAAAUUGUUGAGUAUUUUCUUCUUUUGCUGUAGUUCAAUGGUUCUCAUGAUCAAAUAUAUUUGGAAUAGCUUGAGAGUGUCUUAUGUCUCGGGCAAUGACACAGCUAGACCAACCGUGAUUGGGUCACUAACAGCCACUCAUAUAUAUGGCUUCGUCUUCGUCCACACUAUUGGCUAUAUCAUGCUGCUCGAUGUUCAAAUAGGCUAUAUUAGUUUGAUAGAGGUUGAGAAUGGUGUAACAACCAAAACUAGUACUGUUAUCUCAAAAUUUAUUCAAUAAAUCAGUGGUCUUGAUAAUUUCAGUCGGUUCUCAUUCAAUAUCAUCCACUUAUCUUACCACAAUAUCAUAUUUACAACAACACAGAAAGUUGACAGGGUAUUCCAAUCGUAGCCUGAAAUCUCCAUGUGAAAAAAGGGUUUUGUUGUAAUUUUUUGGCUAAUUUUGUGUAUUUUCAGUAAUUGCAUGACGAAUUUCUGUUUGAUGAGUUGAACUCACUUUUCUAGUUAGUACUGUAGUAGACGCUUGGCCAUUCAACUGAUGUGUUUGAAAUUAAAGUAUAAACUUUAUAAUGUGUGGUUUGUGUUACCUAACAAAUCUCGGUAUUUUUGCAGAUCACUUGGCAUUUCUCAAGAAGCGGUACCAUUGCAGCAAAUGUGGAAAAAGCUAUGCAUCAAGUGGCUGCUUGAAUAGACAUCAAAGAUAUGAGUGUGGCAUGGAGCCCAAGUUCGUAUGUCCCCACUGUUCAUACCGCUGCAAGCAACCACAUGACCUUAAAGUACACAUUGUUAUUAGACAUGGUCCUAAAAUGGCAAUCUAGCAUGUACAUUUCCCAUUACAUCCUUUUCUUGUAGGCAUUUCGGCAGUUGCCAUCAAGAAACACAGAUGCAACUUGUGUGGCAAAAGUUAUAAAGAGAAAAGUAGCUUGUAUACUCAUCAGAAGUACGAAUGCGGCAAGGAACCCCAGUUCCAAUGUCCCUACUGUCCACAUCGCUCCAAACAGAGAGGCCAUCUAAAAACUCACAUUGGUGUCAAACAUAGUGAUAAACUGUUGCCGUAAUUUAAAAUGUGUCAUGCGCUACUUACAGUUAUUAUUCUACUCUUAUCCUUUGAUUUAGUAUUAUAAUGAUUUGUUCAAUUAUUUCAUUAUUUUCUGUGUAAAUUCAUGUUUGACAAGAUCUUAUAUUUUGUUUUGUAAUGAAUUAGAAGCUUCCAAAAAGUACCGUACUAGUAUUUUUUUAAUAUAGGCCUAUGUAUUCUUUCCUCUAUGCUUUGAAUUAGAAUGUAUAUGUGUGUGAUUUAUAAUUAUGUAUUUAUGAAUGUGUUUAUAUCUGUAUAAUUGUGUGUAAGCUAUAGGCUAUGUUUGCAUACAAAUGCAUUUCUUUGGAAAAAAAUUGUUUUGUUAUCAAUUCAUUCAUCUAUACUAUCAUAAAGAGAAGAAUUGCCUUGUACGGGAUAGGAAAUAAACGAAUGAUGCAUCUGAACUACACCUACCUACUGAACUGAUUAACUUGAAUUUUUGCAUAGAGUUACUUAAAAUAACGGAGGAUGUUUAUAUGCAUAUUUUCAUUCUCAUCAAACAAUAAAUUUGAAUUUAAUUAUUGAAACAAGUUUAUUCAAUUUGUGAUUCAGAGUUUAUGCGGAGAUGAAAACCCAACCAAACAGAGCUUUCUCCAAAUGAUACCGUGGCGUAUAAUUGGUAGAACGCACGAUUCAUGAAUGUUCAUGAAAUCGCGAGUUCAAUUAAAUUAUUUUUUGGCUGGAAAUGUUCAACUCUGAUGAAGUUCAUUCACGUAAUUUUGGCAAAAUAAUAAGAAAGAAUUAUUCUAUUGCAAAUAAGAUAUUGCAUUUUAUAACACAACAUUUUCCCCAGUGCAAAGCACGUUACCUGCCAGUUUCUCAUAAGUGCGAGGCAUUAUAAAUAAUGUAGUCUUAAUUAUUUGGAACCUUCCAGAUCAGAAAUAAUAGUGUAAAACUAGUGUAAAAUAAUAUUAUUGUCCUUCGGAAAAUUAGAUUCUUUUCGAUAUAAGACUUCUCUAUUAUAUAUGUUAAAUAGAAAAAGAAGGAUUCGUUGCCUUUUUUAUGAAUGAAUUACAAUCAUUUCACAUCCAACUUGUUCUAAGUUAUUUCAUCCCAUUAACUCUCUACAAGAAUCUAUAAAACUCUUGUUUUAAUUGUUUUCAAAAGCUCCCCACUAUCAUGUUUUCAUUUAUAAGAUUUCUGAAUUUUAUCACCAUUUUCUGCUUUUACUUAUUAUAGUACAAAAUCUUUUUCAGUACUAUAUUUUAUGCCACAUAUGUGGAAUCGACAAUUCCACUUUUGGAAUUCGACAUUUGGACACUUUGACACGAUAUUGUUUAUUCUACAGAGGAGUUCUACAAUAUUUAUGUGUCUAGUGUAAAGUGUAUGUUUCUCAGUUACCAUUUAUUAAUAUAAAUACUGCUUAUUAUUCCACUAUAAUUUCGCCAUAUCAUGGGUUUCAACGCAUGUUCUGUGUAUUUUUGCAGAUCAACCAGUAUUUUUGAAUGGGAGAUACCACUGUAACAACUGCGAAAAGAAUUAUAAAAAGAAAAAGUUUUUGAGAGCUCACCAGAAGAAUGAGUGUGGCAUCGAUCCGCAAUGUCCGCACUGUACCUACCGCACCAACCAGACAGGCUACCUCCGAAGACACAUCAUUUUCAAACAUUUUCGCCACACGAUUUCUUAAGUUUUAGUUUAAAAAUUCAUUUGAGAUUUACUGAAAAUCAGCCUUUUCAUUGAUCUAUUUCAACACUACAUCUAUUCUUGUAAUGGGUUUCAAUGCUCAACAGAGGGUUCAAGGAUGAGAAAUCCUCAUUGUACUUACAUAGCACCAUUGAACAGAAAGGCCAGCUUCAGAGACUCAUGAUUCUUAAGCAUUUUCUGCAAAAUCAUUCCUAAUGUCUCUUUUGAAUGUGUAUUCAAGCAGAGAUACUGAAAAUCAUAAUUGUCACUAAUAUAUUUUAUCACUUCAUCUAUUUUUAUAGAAUGAAUACUAAUUUGGGUUGACAAAAUUUUGUCAACUAUUGUGAUAAUUGUCUAGCCAUACUACAUGAAUUAUUAAAACACUAGUAGCAACUCGUCUCUAUAUUCUCUAUUCUGCCAUAGAGUAAAUACAUUUAAGAUUAUUAUUUGCCUCUGGCUCUCUACUUAUAUAGAAUCUACACUACUUUUGUAUCAGGCUACAUGUCUACAAUCAUGUUAACUCUUAUAAAUCAAGUUAAAUUGGGAUAUUCCACAUUUAAUUACUCAUGAGUUAUUAUGAUGCUAUCUUUACAAAUACAAAAUUUUACUCAAACUAUCUUUAUUUGUAAUAAUUAAUAUGAUCAUUCAUAAUCAUGCUUAACAAAAAUGUUUAGGGAUUAAAUUUUCUCCAAUAAUAAUAAUAAUAAUAUUUAUUGUUGAAGCUACGACAUGCAUAAUUCCUCAAUAUUACUAGUAUUAGGUAUUGAAAGACUAGAGGUAACUCGUCUGUAUCUCUGUAUUUUUGCUUCAUAUAAUUGACACAUUAAAUUCCUAAUACGAAUAAUUUUUUUUCAAAUGUAACUUUUUGAAGUUUUCUGUUUAUUUAGCUAUAAGAUUGACUUUCACAGAAUUAAUGCAUUAGUCAAGUUGGUUAUCUUCAUUUUUCAUGUUUCAUUUUCAAGUUUUAUGGUACCAUAUUCAGCUACGAGAUGUGUCUCCACAGAAUUAGAGUUCUAAUCACGUUAAUGUGAUUAUCUUCACUUUUAUGGAUGAUUGAAAGUAUUUUUAUUAAACAGCUAUUUCAUUUUCAUCGUUUACACAUCUUGAGCUCAUAAACUCACACAAUAGCCUACAUCCCAAUACUUACAGCUAUUUUGCAAUUUUAUAUCAUAAUUUCCAAUUACUACUCGUCUCUCUUAAUAUUUUCUUUUAAAUCUGUAUGGUACACCUUAAUUCUCACCAUGAGAUACGUCGAUUCUUCAUUCAUGUGAUUGUUUGAUUGAAAGUAUUUUUGUUAUAAAUAAAGCACAUUUUUCAUCACUUAUUACACAUAUCAAGUUCAUAAACUUGCUCAUCACAUUCCAAUGUUUAUUUCAUUGAUUCAUAUUAAUUUCCAAUUUGUUCACUUCUUCAUUUGUCCAUUUAGGGUUGUGAGGCAGAGAGAACCUGGAGUCCUAACUCCGCCCUAAUAAAGGCAAGUAAUCAAUCAAUCUCUUGUUGGUUGAAUGAUUUUAUUAUCAAUAUGAAAUCUAUUCAUAUUAAAUGUUCUUCAUCAGAAAACUGUUUGGUUAUCAAUAAAAAGUUGAUAGUAUCCUAUUAUGCAGUUUAUGUGUAUUUAGUCAAUCCAUUAAUGUUCACAUUGUAAUGCCUAAACUCAGGUUUGAACAGCUUCCUGAUAAUUUGUAGAUAACGUUUAUCAACUCCUCAGCGGAAGAGAGAGUUUUCGGUUGUAAACAGAGCAAUUCGAGUGGGCAGCGUGGCUCAAACAAUAAAUUACAGGUCGUGAUCUUCGGGUUGUUUUCGUGUUGAUAUGUGUUUCUUAGUUCGAAUAUGUGCUUCGUGGAGGCUGUGGUAGACGUUAUAUCGAAUCAUUUCCAAUAUUGAUCAAUCAGCAUUUGUGGAUGUGAGAUACUGGUGCAGUAAGUGUGGAAAGAGCUAUAAGAAGAGAAAAAGUUUGAGUGCCCAUCAGAAGUAUGAGUGUGGUAUAGAGCCCCAGCUGCAAUGUCCCUUCUGCCCGCAUCGUUCCAAAAGGAAGGAUCACCUCAAAACUCACAUCGCUCAUCUUACUUAUUAUUACAUCAAUUUAUAAAUGAUUGGAAUAAUAUGGUUUAAGGCCAGUUGACAGAUAUUUAAGAUUGGAGCAUGGCCGUGGAUUUAUGUGCAAUUGUGGUAAAAGGUACAAGGACAGAUCGAGUGUGAGAACCCACCUCAAGUUCGAGUGUGGCAAAGAGCCACAGUUCCAAUGUCCACACUGUUCCUACCGCGCAAACCGGAAAGGAAACCUCAAGAUCCACAUCUAUGGACAGCAUAAGUCACUAUUAUAAAAUAAUUGUCUAGAACUCUUCAAAAAUAUUAUAUUUUUGUCGAUUUUUGAAGUAACUUACUAUAUUUCUAUUGCUGACCACAAAUAUUGUAUGAUUCCAAAAUCAGGCCAAACUUUGUUACACAAUACUACAAUUUUUAAUAUAAUUUAUUAAUUUCCUAUUUUUAGUAUUAUCAUUGACAAUAAUACUCAAUACACUCAUUAAAAUAGGUGUGUUUACUCAAUACACAUAUAGGCCUAUAUCUGUCAGUUUCUUAUAUUAAGCUAAAGAAAUACUUCUACUUAUUUUAUUUUUACUUGUUGAGUGUAUUUCUAUUUUAUUCAAAUCAUUUUCAAUCUGUUAUAUUUGACCGAGAUUAGUGAGGUCUACGUUUUAACUGGACUGGAUUUUAUUUCGUCUGUUUGUAUGUACCUAUAUGUAUAUUUUUGUUCGUAUGUGACGUAUGUUCGACCAAACGCAGCAACAGAUUUCCAUGACAUUUGACUGGAGUGUUCCUUUUCGAUUGCGCUUCGAUGUAGGUCUAUAUGUAAGAUUAUUUGGAAGUUUGCAUUUCAAGGCCAAUAUAGAAGGAAAAGGAAAUUUUCAAUACUGUGAUACUACUAUAUUCAUAAUCUGUUGCUAAACAUAUGAACUUUGAACUUUAUUUUCCAAAAAACAUUACAAACAAAGAAAACGAAAAACAAUAAGGGUACUUACUUAUUGAAUUAGCAAGUUGAUGCUAAAUGUAGCUAUAUAUUUAUAGUUUAUUAAUUAUAAAGUAACAUUGCUGCUAGAAUAAAUAAUAAUAAUGUCCAUUAUAAAUAAUUACGGGUAAUAUUUGAGGGAAAAUGAUACCUGCAUAGGUUUAAAACCGUGUGCGCAGGUAGGUUAUAUUAAAAAAAGAUCAAACAAAGACACGAAACACGUGAUUGUGCAGCGACUAUAUAUUAUUAAUCAAGAUCAAGAUUGAUUUCAUAAUCAUAGGCCUACAUGGAAUGUUAUUUUGCGUAUUGAGUCAUUUUGAUAAAGAGGAAACAAUUUAAAUCUCAUAUAUUCUUUUCAACUACGUACUUUUUAUUAUUCAACUACGUAUUCUUUUAUUACAGUACUGUAAUAAAAUUAUUUUCAAAGUAGCUUAUGUCUAUAAAGCUAAGUUGACACCAAAGUGUUAAUAAUUUUUUGUUUGUCCUGAUAAAUUUCUACCAGAUUCAAUGGAACUUGAGAAACAGAUGAUGCGUUAUUGCCAAGAAAGGUGCAUCCUUAGCGACGACUCGAGACGCGCGGCUGGAGUACAUAGCACAUAAAUUCAUUAGAGAUUCCAUGAUUAAUUUAUUUUUAUGACGUAUGAACGUUAUGGCGGCAGAUAAACUGGAAGUAUUGGCUACUAUAGUAUUGCAUCUCUGAUGAAUCAUCGAAUCUAGUGAAUUUAUACGCUAUGUAGGCUACUGCAGCCGCGGCGGCUCGAGUCGUCGCUCAAGGUGCGUUCACAUUAGUCAAGUUUAAUUGAAUUCAAUUAUUUUAACGUUUGAGUUGAAUGGGUGAUUUUGAAAACAUAAAUUAAAAAAUCUAAUAAAUAAAUCUCAAAUAAAGCUUUCUUCUAAAUUUUCAUACUUUUAUUUUUACUUGUUUUUAUACAUUCUACAUUGACUGAAAACUGUUUUGAUCUCAUUUUUCCAUUGGUAUGUUCGAUUGUAUCUUCAAGAUUCAAAUUGAAUACAAAAGUCAAACAUGCUCAACAUCUGCAAAACGUGAAGAAGGGUCUACAUUGGUAUAGUAGUGGAUGCAAUAAGUUUCUGUUCUUGUAAACUUGACUUGAAGUUCGCAAAAUACAUUUAUUUUAUACAAAACUUCAAUUUUAUUCAACUAAACUACCUAAUCUAGUGAACGCCCCUUAAGAAAUUCCACCUUUAUGUUCAAUCUAGAAUUAAUAAGAACGGAAAAACAUUCUAUUGACAACUUUGAUGUAAUCUAAUAUAAGCUUUAUAAUUGGAAUAAAUAUUAUUGAGGUCCACGUUGUAAUGGCAGUAUUUGAUUGACAUUUGGUGUUGCUAUCCUUGUCUAUCAUUCGAUAAGACUAGCCUUUUCCAGCUCGUUUUUUAACAAUGUAGAAAUAUAAUUAACAAAAUAUAUUUAAUCUCAAUUAUGAAAAUUUAUUAUUCAUUUAUUGAAAAAUAUAUUCACUUGCCAAAUAAAAUAUUAUUUAUUAGGUAUUUCAAGACAAGGAUGAACAGUUAAUAUUAUUAAUAAUGAACAGAUAUAUUGGUAUCAACUAUCCUCUAUAAAAGGCAGUGGCAAAGCAGAAAAUUGGUAACGCUGUUCUCCUAUUUUUCCCACUGCCAUUACAACGUGGACCUCGCCAUAGUUGCUGUCUACAAUAAUAAUAUUGUAGAUACGCCAACAUAAUCAUCUACUAUUGGCUGUUUUAACAGUGACCUACUUUUCGUGACAGAAUUUUCUCCGAUGGGCUAAUUGGGUGGCAUAAACAAUUGGAUCUGUUCA
RNA transcript from Nilaparvata lugens (brown planthopper), 9644 nucleotides. RefSeq lists it as uncharacterized. NCBI's taxonomy places the organism in Eukaryota, Metazoa, Arthropoda, Insecta, Hemiptera, Delphacidae. The record is from RefSeq and is a predicted model, not a curated record. The transcript is spliced from 5 exons.